This 523-nucleotide ribosomal RNA is filed under the name uncultured bacterium. RNAcentral describes it as "partial 16S ribosomal RNA". It matches the Rfam family "Bacterial small subunit ribosomal RNA", at positions 356 to 896 of the family's 1533-position model. The record is from RNAcentral.
GGGGAAUAUUGGACAAUGGGGGCAACCCUGAUCCAGCAAUGCCGCGUGUGUGAAGAAGGUUUUCGGAUUGUAAAGCACUUUCGACGGGGACGAUGAUGACGGUACCCGUAGAAGAAGCCCCGGCUAACUUCGUGCCAGCAGCCGCGGUAAUACGAAGGGGGCUAGCGUUGCUCGGAAUGACUGGGCGUAAAGGGCGUGUAGGCGGUUUGUACAGUCAGAUGUGAAAUCCCCGGGCUUAACCUGGGAGCUGCAUUUGAUACGUGCAGACUAGAGUGUGAGAGAGGGUUGUGGAAUUCCCAGUGUAGAGGUGAAAUUCGUAGAUAUUGGGAAGAACACCGGUGGCGAAGGCGGCAACCUGGCUCAUAACUGACGCUGAGGCGCGAAAGCGUGGGGAGCAAACAGGAUUAGAUACCCUGGUAGUCCACGCUGUAAACGAUGUGUGCUAGAUGUUGGGUAACUUAGUUAUUCAGUGUCGCAGUUAACGCGUUAAGCACACCGCCUGGGGAGUACGGCCGCAAGGUUG